CACACCCGCCCGUCACAUCACGAAAAGCCCGUUGUUACUACGAAGCCGUGAUUCAACCGCAAGGAGAUAGCGUCCAAGGUAUGACGUGGUGUAGUUGGGUG
RNAcentral lists this ribosomal RNA (101 nucleotides) under uncultured bacterium. Its description in RNAcentral is "partial 16S ribosomal RNA". The record is from RNAcentral.